RNAcentral lists this ribosomal RNA (497 nucleotides) under uncultured bacterium. Its description in RNAcentral is "partial 16S ribosomal RNA". It matches the Rfam family "Bacterial small subunit ribosomal RNA", at positions 28 to 507 of the family's 1533-position model. The record is from RNAcentral.
GAUGAACGCUGGCGGCGUGCCUAAUACAUGCAAGUCGAGCGAACGGACGAGAAGCUUGCUUCUCUGAUGUUAGCGGCGGACGGGUGAGUAACACGUGGAUAACCUACCUAUAAUACUGGGAUAACUUCGGGAAACCGGAGCUAAUACCGGAUGAUCUUUUGAACCGCAUGGUUCAAAAGUGAAAGACGGUCUUGCUGUCACUUAUAGAUGGAUCCGCGCUGCAUUAGCUAGUUGGUAAGGUAACGGCUUACCAAGGCAACGAUGCAUAGCCGACCUGAGAGAGUGGUCGGCCGCACUGGAACUGAGACACGGUCCAGACUCCUACGGGAGGCAGCAGUAGGGAAUCUUCCGCAAUGGGCGAAAGCCUGACGGAGCAACGCCGCGUGAGUGAUGAAGGUCUUCGGAUCGUAAAACUCUGUUAUUAGGGAAGAACAUAUGUGUAAGUAACUGUGCACAUCUUGACGGUACCUAAUCAGAAAGCCACGGCUAACUACGUG